GGCGAAGCCUGACCCAGCGACGCCGCGUGGGUGAUGAAGGCCUUCGGGUCGUAAAACCCUGUGAGAUGGGAAGAAGCCGUUGUGUGCCAAUACCACAUCGCGGUGACAGUACCAUCAGAGGAAGCCCCGGCUAACUACGUGCCAGCAGCCGCGGUAAAACGUAGGGGGCAAGCGUUGUUCGGAAUUACUGGGCGUAAAGCGCGUGUAGGCGGCUUGGCAAGUCGGAAGUGAAAGCCCCAGGCUCAACUUGGGAACUGCUUUCGAAACUGCCAGGCUUGAGUGCGGGAGGGGAGAGCGGAAUUCCAGGUGUAGCGGUGAAAUGCGUAGAUAUCUGGAGGAACACCGGUGGCGAAGGCGGCUCUCUGGACCGUAACUGACGCUGAGACGCGAAAGCGUGGGUAGCAAACAGGAUUAGAUACCCUGGUAGUCCACGCCCUAAACGAUGGAUACUUGGCGUGGGAAGUUAAAAUCUUUCCGUGCCGGAGCUAACGCAUUAAGUAUCCCGCCUGGGGAGUACGGUCGCAAGGCUGAAACUCA
This 537-nucleotide ribosomal RNA is filed under the name uncultured bacterium Geo-144. Its description in RNAcentral is "bacterial SSU rRNA". It matches the Rfam family "Bacterial small subunit ribosomal RNA", at positions 374 to 903 of the family's 1533-position model. The record is from RNAcentral.